Molecule: non-coding RNA, 28 nt
Filed under: Mus musculus (house mouse)
Lineage: Eukaryota; Metazoa; Chordata; Mammalia; Rodentia; Muridae
Source: RNAcentral
UAGCUAUGUGUGUGCGUAUGAACUUUUU